GGCGAACGUUAGCGGCGCGCUUAACACAUGCAAGUCGCACGAGAAGGGAGCAAUCCCCGGUAAAGUGGCGCACGGGUGAGUAACACGUGAAUUACCUUCCCCAGGAGUGGUGGAUAACCUGCCGAAAGGCGGGCUAAUACAGCAUAGGACCACGUGGUUUCGACCAUGGGGUGAAAGCAGCCUCUGUUCACAAGCUUGCGUUUCUGGAUGGGUUCGCGGUCCAUCAGCUAGUUGGGAGGUAACGGCUCACCAAGGCUACGACGGAUAGCUGGUCUGAGGAGGAUGAUC
Molecule: ribosomal RNA, 288 nt
Filed under: uncultured bacterium
Lineage: Bacteria
Description: partial 16S ribosomal RNA
Rfam family: Bacterial small subunit ribosomal RNA
Source: RNAcentral